GCUACAAUGGACAAAAGAGGAACAUUCUGUAUUAACUAAUUUGGUAGAGGAGAAGCAGCCUCUUGGUCUUAAACAAAUGAGAGCUUGAUGCAGGAAGAACUUCGAAAUAUUUGGUAGAGCCACAUGUGACUGAUCAAAAUAUUCACCCUAAGCACACAAAACAAGAGUGUUAAGAUCUGCCAGAUAUGGGACUCACCUGCAGCAGAAUGUGGCCUUAACAGAACGCGGGAAACCCUUCCAAUGGAAGAUGUUUUGCUCACAAAGCACAAUCACUUUGGAGACGUUGAUCUGAUUUCUACAAUAAAUUAAAAUGGGAUUGCCCUUGUUGCUGUUGCUGCAGGCUCAUGAUCUGGACCCAACCCCAGGACUCAAGCAGGACUGAAGGACACAUGGUAAGAUUGUGUUACCUGUGCACAGGAGGAUGGUGAAAUCUGGGAUAUGUAGCUUGUGACUUUCAGCUGUCUGGUCUGAAGCAAGGGACAGGAAGUUUCUGUGUUGAUGGAAGAGCAGUGGAGAGCAAGAAGAGGAGGUGAAAA
Camarhynchus parvulus is the source of this 536-nucleotide long non-coding RNA. RefSeq lists it as uncharacterized. The record is from RefSeq and is a predicted model, not a curated record. Lineage: Eukaryota; Metazoa; Chordata; Aves; Passeriformes; Thraupidae. The transcript has 3 exons.